This 704-nucleotide ribosomal RNA is filed under the name uncultured bacterium. RNAcentral's name for it is "bacterial SSU rRNA". It matches the Rfam family "Bacterial small subunit ribosomal RNA", at positions 55 to 754 of the family's 1533-position model. The record is from RNAcentral.
AUGCAGUCGAGGGGCAGCGAGGGAGUGGCAACACUUCUGUCGGCGACCGGCGCACGGGUGAGUAACGCGUAUGCAACCUGCCCUUCACAGGGGGAUAACCGGGAGAAAUUCCGACUAAUACCGCAUACGUCCUCCGGGGGCAUCCCCGGGGGAUGAAAGAGUUAUCGGUGAAGGAUGGGCAUGCGUGAUAUUAGGUAGUUGGCGGGGCAACGGCCCACCAAGCCCACGAUAUCUAGGGGUUCUGAGAGGAAGGUCCCCCACAUUGGUACUGAGACACGGACCAAACUCCUACGGGAGGCAGCAGUGAGGAAUAUUGGUCAAUGGACGAGAGUCUGAACCAGCCAAGUCGCGUGAAGGAAGACGGAUCUAUGGUUUGUAAACUUCUUUAGUGCGGGAACAAAGCGGCGUCGUGACGCCGGAUGAGUGUACCGCAAGAAUAAGCAUCGGCUAACUCCGUGCCAGCAGCCGCGGUAAUACGGAGGAUGCGAGCGUUAUCCGGAUUUAUUGGGUUUAAAGGGAGCGCAGGCUGCGAGGCAAGUCAGCGGUCAAAUGUCGGGGCUCAACCCCGGCCUGCCGUUGAAACUGUUUUGCUAGAGUUCGAGUGAGGUAUGCGGAAUGCGUUGUGUAGCGGUGAAAUGCAUAGAUAUGACGCAGAACUCCGAUUGCGAAGGCAGCAUACCAACUCGCGACUGACGCUGAGGCUC